Long non-coding RNA from Siniperca chuatsi (mandarin fish), 431 nucleotides. RefSeq lists it as uncharacterized. The transcript is spliced from 2 exons. The record is from RefSeq and is a predicted model, not a curated record. Lineage: Eukaryota; Metazoa; Chordata; Actinopteri; Centrarchiformes; Sinipercidae.
AUGGGAUCGGGGGAGGAAAAAAAAGAUGAGGAGGAGGAUAUAUAUUAUGCUUUCAAAUGUUAUAUAAAUCGCACAAAAACAAUAUAUCAUCAGGAAUACAACAGUAUCAUGUGACAGCAACAACAUCUAGCUUGGAUACUGAGUCACUGAGUGAGCGAGUCUGUCCUACGGCCCCGUCACCAGGGCAGGAGUCGGCCGUCGUUGCCCCUCUGUCUGGCCUUGAUGCCCUCCUGAAAAUUGUAUGCCCAUCGGCCACUGUGGCCUUGGUGCCCCGCUCUCUGCCUGUUUUGUUUUUUUCUUUCCCUGCCCUGCCUCUCUGCCCUCUCCUGUAGAGAGUCCGCCCCAGCAACGGAACGUUAGUACAUGUACUUGAUUGUAACAGUAACGUAAUCAACACGUGUGGUGUGACCAAUAAAAAUGCAAGUGUGAAA